This is a long non-coding RNA of Lates calcarifer (barramundi perch), 1722 nucleotides long. RefSeq lists it as uncharacterized. The transcript has 5 exons. Lineage: Eukaryota; Metazoa; Chordata; Actinopteri; Centropomidae. The record is from RefSeq and is a predicted model, not a curated record.
UCCAAAUGCUAUUGCUUUUAGUUUUACUUGCUCCUGUUUUGAGGUAUCUGUCUCAGAUUUUAGCCCCCACCCCAACACAACGGAUGUGAAUUGAAUUGCUCAUGUCAGUGAAAAACAUCAUCUUUUUCCAGAGAAAGUGUCUGGUUACUCUGACUAAUCCACACAAGCUGCUACAUCAAGCCUUAUAAAUCAUUAUGCAAAUAUAUCCAUGUCAGUGUACAUGUCAGCCAAUAGAAAAAAAUUAAGUGAAAUAGCACAAACUGUUGAGACACCUGCUUGGUAACCAGGGCUGGUUCUAGGCAGGCAUAUAUGAGGGGGUAGUCAGAAAUGUGAAAGGAGCAUCGAUGGUACACAUCAUGCUACAGCAGCAAUUUUCUGGGGGAGUAUUUCACACACAUUUUGUGGAGGGCAUUUUUGCCUAUGCCAGUGUUCUCUCCUUUGAAUUGGGUUAUUAGCUAUGUAUCCAACCCCCAACCUGGAGAAGUGAAUUGCACUUUGUCAGGCCUCCACCCUGUGACCUGUCCAGCUUGGGUGUCCCACCUGAAGACUAAACUUCUGCUGGAAUAGCUUCUAGGGUCAGUGAGGCACGCAAAACCCCCUGAGCAUGAUAAGGUGACAACCCCUCAGGGGGAAAACUGAAAAAUAAAGAUGAAAAAAUAACAAAACAGAUCCCUAAUCCAGAUUUUAACAAUUAACACCAUAACAUACAGUUUCUCAAUUGCAUAAGCCUUAUUCUCAAAAUUUGAACUUAAUUACCAAGCCUUUUCUCAAACUUUUCAAAGUAAUGUAUAACACCUCUGCGCUUCUGUGGCUGAGACACACUCCACUCCAACAGGCACUGGGAGAAGAGCAGAACUACCAGUAGGCUGUUUCCCAGUUGAACAUCUAUAGAUAGAUAUAUGUUUCAUUUACUUUUGUUUUUCUGGUAAUGUUAGCCGACGUAUGUCGUCAUUAGUCGCGGCGUGUCUCGUCAUUGGCCCAUAUCUUAUGGGAGGAGCGCAGAGAGGCGGGGAAAGGAAGUCGGAAACCAGAUUUAAACCAAAUUUGAACCGUUUCCUCUGUUUGCUGCUGCUGUGAGAAAACGUCGUCAUCGAAGAGGUCUGGAUGCUAAAACAAACUCUGAUGCUGCUUUUUUGUCGUUAAUGAAGAGGUCUGGAUGCUAAAACAAACUCUGGAGCUGUUUUUGUCGAACACGAGUGAGACUGGACGCUGAACACACCUGCGGCGCGAAGGUUUACUCGUUCAGCUGCUGCAGCCUGGACAGGAACACCAACUCUCACCAAACAAACCAAACAGAGAGUCUUUGUACAAUGAAGAAGUUCUUUGAAACCAGGACGGAGGCCUCCAGGAUUCAAACUUCAACUAUUAAAGCACAGAGAGAAGAUACCAACGUGAAGACAUUUCCAGAAGGUCUUCAGCUGCUGUCGUCUUCUCCUCCUGCAGAGACAAGAACACGUUAAUCACAGAAACUGAUCAGUCAAUCUAAAUAUUUUUAUGACAUUUUUUCAUGUUUUUAUGCCUUGUGGGUUGGAUUUUCAUUUUGGUAUUUUGCUAUUUCAAACAGUGCAAUACCAGUACUCAAAUCCAAUCUAUUACUGCGUACAUAGUCCUGUUUAUGCUGUUCAUAAUUUUUAUGUAUUGUCUUGUGUAUAUAUAAUGACCUUUUCUGUUUUUGCUGUUGCAACACUGAAUUUCCCCAUUGUGGAACUGAUAAAUAAAUAC